GACUGGUUGCGGAUCUUGGAAUUUCAUGGACUUGGGUAUGACUACGAAUGAUUGUAGUUGAGGCGAGUCAAGGUUCAAGAAGUCUACAGGAAUACAAGCUUGGAGAGGACUGGUUGGGGCUCUUGGAUUUUCAUGGACUUGGGGAUGACUAUGAAUGAUUGUAGUUGAGAUAGGUCAAGGUACAACAAGCCCUGAUCAGGAUACGCUGAAAACUACCGACGAGUGUCAAAUCACUUCCGUCAGGGAGAAACUUAAUGAACGAACUCUCCGUGCUUACACCAACGCAUCACAUUGAUACAGAGCAGGAUGAUGCUCUUGUUUCAGGAAGUGUAAUGUAAUGUAAUGCAACGCUACAAUUUGUUAGGCAAAAUGUUUGUUCAAAAUUGUGAUUUAUCAACAUGUUUGAAGAACACCUGUAUGUAGAUCACCUGUAUGUAUUUGACAAUGCAAUACCACACAUAAUCUUGCACUGUGGCCCAGUGUGUUUUGUACCUUUGAAACUAAUGUUAUUUAAACCUUUCAAGCCUGAAUGCUCUUGGGACCCUUUUCCCGUUCUCAAAUAGUCUAUGUACUAUUUGAAUUAAAUUAGCUGCUAAAGUCAAUCGAUAAAUUUAUCAUUCAAUACAUUGUCAUCUUCCUUAGCCCCGUCUAGGCAUAUAAAUCUUCUAUCAAUUUCAGUUGUUUUUUAAUAUUUUUGUCACGAUAUCUUUUUGAAUUUACAGUUUUUUUCCUUUAGUGGUACAUGUUGGUCAUUUUAGCUAGAUUAGAGGUGGGUUAGGCCUACAAGGUUCUGAUAGCAGUUUAUUUCAUGACUGGCAGUUAGUGCCGUCAUCUGUAGGCACUUCUAGUGUAGCCGUUAGUGAUAGGAUGGAGACCAGCGAGUGUAGUAGGUGUAGGCGCAACGUAUCUAAGGUUAGACACUCACUGGUCUUUAUCUCCAGGAAGAUGACACACU
Long non-coding RNA from Lineus longissimus, 955 nucleotides. RefSeq lists it as uncharacterized. The transcript is spliced from 3 exons. The record is from RefSeq and is a predicted model, not a curated record. Lineage: Eukaryota; Metazoa; Nemertea; Pilidiophora; Heteronemertea; Lineidae.